GUGCUUGCUUCAGCAGCACAUACACUAAAAUUGGAAUGAUACAGAGAAGAUUAGCGUGGCCCCUGCGCAAGGAUAACACACAAAUUCAUGAAGCGUUCCAUAUUUUU
RNAcentral lists this small nuclear RNA (107 nucleotides) under Choloepus hoffmanni (Hoffmann's two-fingered sloth). The record is from RNAcentral. Lineage: Eukaryota; Metazoa; Chordata; Mammalia; Pilosa; Megalonychidae.